AUCGCUUCUCGGCCUUUUGGCUAAGAUCAAAGUUUAGUUUCUGUUCUUAUC
Non-coding RNA from Oesophagostomum dentatum (nodular worm), 51 nucleotides. The record is from Rfam. NCBI's taxonomy places the organism in Eukaryota, Metazoa, Nematoda, Chromadorea, Rhabditida, Strongylidae.